ACAGAACCCGUCCACGAACCUUCAUUAAGCACUUGAAUGCCUCCAGUGAUGGGGCACUCAUUUCUCUCCUCUGGAAUCAUCAGCUCGACGACUGGACCACUCUGAAAGUCAGGAAGCUAAGUUCUUCACCCCGUGGACCCCCAUCUUUCUUGCCUACAUGUUGGACUUAUGCUAUCACACUAAAAUAUGAGGGAUGGAUCUGUCACCCCACCCUUCCCAGCACACGGUGGCCCUUCAGGGCCCACCUUAGUGCAUGCUUUCUCCAGGAGCUCUCUCCAAGUGAGGCUGCUGCAUGCAACCUGGGCUCCGAGUGAACUCUUUCUCCAGCAUUCUGGUGGUCUGGGACCUGGUGAAGGACUACACCCCACCCUGGAGCUGUUCCCUGGCUGGCCUGUCCAUGACUGUGUCUUCUAUGAGCUGCCCAGGCAGAGGAGGAGUAAGGGAUGGACUUAGUCCUGUAGCCUCCAGUGUAGGAAGACAGAGAAGAGACAAAAGGUAAUGCAAUGGGCCCUCCAUGCUUUCCUGUAUGCUCAGAUUCAGGAGAUGGGAAGGGAAGAAGUGAGAGAAGACGAAGGAAGAAAUGCUCAGAGAAUGAAAAGGAGGGACUGGGACUCAGCCUUCAACACAACUGAAGACCAUGCUUCAAGGCUUUCUGUGGCUAGCUCCUGACUAUAUAACCCCAUGCACAACACAGGCUCCUCCUGGAAAACCUUUGAAGUUCACCUCUCCUAGGCAACUUUUCUUGGCUGGUCUCCUCCUCUCUGCUGCUCCCUGAGCUGCACAGCUCUUCCUUGGCCAUAAGUCCUAGGCUAUGAUUCUCAUUUAUGCUCAGAAAUUAGACUGCUUUGCACUAUUUUUCUUUUAUCAGCUUCAGGGAGCAGUUUGAGAUAUAUUUGCAGUUAUUUUAAUUUUUAGAUUUUUUACACAUACUUGUGUGUAUGUGUGCGUGCGCGCAUGAUAUGCUUAUAGAGGUCGGAGGACAACUUUUGGAGCCAUUUUUCUUCUUCAGUCAUAUGGGUUCCAGGUAUAGAACUCAGGUCAUCGGGCUUGGUGGCAAGCACCUUUACCCACUGAGCCAUCUCACUGUUCCCCUCCCAUUGUGAUCCUUAAAUUUGUGUUUUUAUGUUUAUUUAUUCUUGUGGUCCUGAGGAUUGAAUCUAGCACCUCUUAGAUGCUAGACAAGUACCCAGCACUUAGACAAUUCCCACCUGUGUGUGCACACACCUAUGUAUAUACAUUGUAUGUAUAUACAAAUCGUUUUUAUUUUAUGUGCACGAAUGUUUUGCCUACGUGUAUUCUUGUGCACUGCAUGUAUGUCUAGUGCUCAUGGAAGCUAGAAGAAAGUGUUGGAUCCUCUGAAAAUGUUGUAAGUCACCAUGUGGGUACUGAGAACCAAACCUGGGUCCUCUGCAAGAGCAGCUAAUGGUCUUAACCACCGAGGCAUCUCUUCAGCCCCCGCAUACUUAUCUUAAACUCUGUUUGUAUGUGAAACAAUCUUAAGACAAGACAGUAUAAUGCUAUACCCAUAUCUGCAUAGCUCAUUCUGGGGACACAUAGCUGAUCCUAGUCUCCACUCCACUAGCUUGCAAUCUAGUGAGUGGUGCCAGAUAUGUGUGACGCGAGAGCUGGGCAUGUCUUAUGGAGGGUGUAACUGCACGGAUGCGAGCUGAAAGACAAGCAGGAGUCCCUAAACAGCAGGGAAGAUGCUUGGGGUGGGAGGAAGCAGGACACAACAGCUUGGAGAGGUAAAUGGGUGAGGAGGGGCCUCUCAGUGUGGCUGGCGGCUAGGUAGGACAAGACAUUGUUCUGAACCCAAUGGGCAUUCCCACCCCCAACCUUUCUAGUUACCACUUAGAAAUCAAUACCCAAAUCAAUGCCAUUAUGAUUCUAUUUACACGAAGUUCCAGAAAAGAUAAAAUUUUCCCACAAUGAUAGACAUGGGAGUAAUUAUUGCCUUUGAAGGUUGGAGGUUUAAUGAAGCAUGUCACAUCUCUCAUUGUUUUAUUUUUUUUUAGACGUGGGAAGAAAUUUACUCUUCUGAUUCCAUAAAAACAAUUCUACCAAUAUUAAAGCAGUAUUGUAUAUAUACACUGU
Molecule: long non-coding RNA, 2094 nt
Filed under: Mus musculus (house mouse)
Lineage: Eukaryota; Metazoa; Chordata; Mammalia; Rodentia; Muridae
Description: predicted gene 14377
Source: RNAcentral